GGACAGAUGGGUGAGUGGUUGAAACCGCACGCCUGGAACGCGUGUGUAGGGCAACCUACCGAGGGUUCGAAUCCCUCUCUGUCCGCCA
RNAcentral lists this transfer RNA (88 nucleotides) under Campylobacterales bacterium. RNAcentral's name for it is "tRNA-Ser". It matches the Rfam family "tRNA". From Rfam's summary of the family: Transfer RNA (tRNA) molecules are approximately 80 nucleotides in length. Lineage: Bacteria; Pseudomonadati; Campylobacterota; Epsilonproteobacteria; Campylobacterales. The record is from RNAcentral.